UACGUAGGGUGCGAGCGUUAAUCGGAAUUACUGGGCGUAAAGCGUGCGCAGGCGGCGCCGCAAGUCAGGCGUGAAAUCCCCGAGCUUAACUUGGGAAUGGCGCUUGAAACUACGGUGCUGGAGUGUGGCAGAGGGAGGUGGAAUUCCACGUGUAGCGGUGAAAUGCGUAGAGAUCCGGAGGAACACCAGUGGCGAAGGCGGCCCCCUGGGCCGCGCCUGACGCUGAGACGCGAAAGCGCGGGGAGCGAACGGG
This 253-nucleotide ribosomal RNA is filed under the name uncultured bacterium. RNAcentral describes it as "partial 16S ribosomal RNA". It matches the Rfam family "Bacterial small subunit ribosomal RNA", at positions 524 to 776 of the family's 1533-position model. The record is from RNAcentral.